UGCGGACAGUGUCUGGUGGGUAGUUUGACUGGGGCGGUCUCCUCCUAAAGAGUAACGGAGGAGCACGAAGGUUGGCUAAUCCUGGUCGGACAUCAGGAGGUUAGUGCAAUGGCAUAAGCCAGCUUGACUGCGAGCGUGACGGCGCGAGCAGGUGCGAAAGCAGGUCAUAGUGAUCCGGUGGUUCUGAAUGGAAGGGCCAUCGCUCAACGGAUAAAAGGUACUCCGGGGAUAACAGGCUGAUACCGCCCAAGAGUUCAUAUCGACGGCGGUGUUUGGCACCUCGAUGUCGGCUCAUCACAUCCUGGGGCUGAAGUAGGUCCCAAGGGUAUGGCUGUUCGCCAUUUAAAGUGGUACGCGAGCUGGGUUUAGAACGUCGUGAGACAGUUCGGUCCCUAUCUGCCGUGGGCGCUGGAGAACUGAGGGGGGCUGCUCCUAGUACGAGAGGACCGGAGUGGACGCAUCACUGGUGUUCGGGUUGUCAUGCCAAUGGCACUGCCCGGUAGCUAAAUGCGGAAGAGAUAAGUGCUGAAAGCAUCUAAGCACGAAACUUGCCCCGAGAUGAGUUCUCCCUGACUCCUUGAGAGUCCUGAAG
Molecule: ribosomal RNA, 592 nt
Filed under: Escherichia coli
Lineage: Bacteria; Pseudomonadati; Pseudomonadota; Gammaproteobacteria; Enterobacterales; Enterobacteriaceae
Description: partial 23S ribosomal RNA
Rfam family: Bacterial large subunit ribosomal RNA
Source: RNAcentral